AAAAAUCUUACAAAAUAUGAUGAUAUGACAUUAAAAUUUUAGAUCAAAGUUAUUGAUCUUGUUUUAUAUGGUAUAAAGAAGUUUCUAUCAAAAUUUCAUGUGAUUUGGAUAUUUUUACACCGUUAAACUUGCAACCGGCUCACCACGGCCUUUAAAAUUAUUGAUUUUUGAGCCCCUUCGAUCACUAGGCAAAUGAUAUCGAAAAAUUGCAAAAUUUAUUUUCUAGGUACUUCAAAUACUCUAGAUCAACUCUAACGGAGCCGAUCGUCGAUUCGAAAGUCCGAACAUCGAAAACGACUUGGAAGCACGGAUCGAGGUCUCAGACUGUUAAGACAGGAGAACUGUUUAGGUUAGUU
This 356-nucleotide long non-coding RNA is filed under the name Ananas comosus (pineapple). Its description in RNAcentral is "long non-coding RNA (ACOM_LNC000932)". The record is from RNAcentral. Lineage: Eukaryota; Viridiplantae; Streptophyta; Magnoliopsida; Poales; Bromeliaceae.